UAAUAGAGCUGUAACUCAAGCCUUUGUCUUCUGGACACCAAGUUCAAGAGUGUUUCCAUCACAUUAAGCCUGGCUUCCCUAGGGGGGGGUGGCGGGGAGUGGCCUGGCGCGCGCCACAGGGGCGAGAUCGCCGACCGCCGGGGCUCGCCUCCCAGGGAGCGCGCUGAGCCAGUGCGGGGUCCCGGCGCUG
Long non-coding RNA from Leopardus geoffroyi (Geoffroy's cat), 190 nucleotides. RefSeq lists it as uncharacterized. The transcript is spliced from 3 exons. The record is from RefSeq and is a predicted model, not a curated record. NCBI's taxonomy places the organism in Eukaryota, Metazoa, Chordata, Mammalia, Carnivora, Felidae.